CCUACGGGAGGCAGCAGUGGGGAAUUUUGGACAAUGGGCGAAAGCCUGAUCCAGCAAUGCCGCGUGUGGGAAGAAGGCCUUCGGGUUGUAAACCACUUUUGUACGGAACGAAACGGCUCGCUUUAAUACAGCGGGCUAAUGACGGUACCGUAAGAAUAAGCACCGGCUAACUACGUGCCAGCAGCCGCGGUAAUACGUAGGGUGCGAGCGUUAAUCGGAAUUACUGGGCGUAAAGCGUGCGCAGGCGGUUACAUAAGACAGUUGUGAAAUCCCCGGGCUCAACCUGGGAAUUGCAUCUGUGACUGUAUAGCUAGAGUACGGUAGAGGGGGAUGGAAUUCCGCGUGUAGCAGUGAAAUGCGUAGAUAUGCGGAGGAACACCGAUGGCGAAGGCAAUCCCCUGGACCUGUACUGACGCUCAUGCACGAAAGCGUGGGGAGCAAACAGGAUUAGAUACCCUGGUAGUCCACGCCCUAAACCGAUGUCAACUGGUUGUUGGGUUGCAUUAGUACUCAGUAACGAAGCUAACGCGUGAAGUUGACCGCCUGGGGAGUACGGCCGCAAGGUUGAAACUCGAAAGGAAUUGACGG
This 588-nucleotide ribosomal RNA is filed under the name uncultured bacterium. RNAcentral's name for it is "bacterial SSU rRNA". It matches the Rfam family "Bacterial small subunit ribosomal RNA", at positions 338 to 916 of the family's 1533-position model. The record is from RNAcentral.